AUCGCCCGGGAACUACGAGCAAAGCUUAAAACCCAAAGGACUUGACGGUACCCCACAUCCACCUAGAGGAGCCUGUCCUAUAAUCGAUAACCCCCGCUUAACCUCACCAUUUUUAGCCUAUCAGCCUGUAUACCUCCGUCGCCAGCUUACCACGUGAGCGACCCUCAGUGAGCUUAAUGUUUAUACACCAACACGUCAGGUCAAGGUGCAGCAGAUAAAAUGGGAAGAGAUGGGCUACACUCUCUAUUCUAGAAAAUACGGAAGACUAUUUAUGAAACCUAGUCAAAAGGCGGAUUUAGUAGUAAAAAGAGACAAGAGUGCUCUUUUUAACAUGGCACUGGGGUGUGUACAC
This 352-nucleotide ribosomal RNA is filed under the name Osteocephalus yasuni. RNAcentral describes it as "partial 12S ribosomal RNA". It matches the Rfam family "Bacterial small subunit ribosomal RNA", at positions 868 to 1388 of the family's 1533-position model. Lineage: Eukaryota; Metazoa; Chordata; Amphibia; Anura; Hylidae. The record is from RNAcentral.